This 484-nucleotide ribosomal RNA is filed under the name uncultured bacterium. Its description in RNAcentral is "partial 16S ribosomal RNA". It matches the Rfam family "Bacterial small subunit ribosomal RNA", at positions 28 to 507 of the family's 1533-position model. The record is from RNAcentral.
AUUGAACGCUGGCGGCAUGCUUUACACAUGCAAGUCGAACGGCAGCGCGGGCUUCGGCCUGGCGGCGAGUGGCGAACGGGUGAGUAAUGCAUCGGAACGUGCCCAGUAGUGGGGGCUAGCCCGGCGAAAGCCGGCUUAAUACCGCAUCCGACCUGAGGGUGAAAGCGGGGGACCGAUAGGCCUAGAGCUAUUGGAGCGGCCGAUGUCGGAUUAGCUAGUUGGUGGGGUAAAGGCUUACCAAGGCGACGAUCCGUAGCUGGUCUGAGAGGACGACCAGCCACACUGGGACUGAGACACGGCCCAGACUCCUACGGGAGGCAGCAGUGGGGAAUUUUGGACAAUGGGGGCAACCCUGAUCCAGCCAUGCCGCGUGAGGGAAGAAGGCCUUCGGGUUGUAAACCGCUUUUGUUCGGGAAGAAAUCCUCUGGGCUAAUACCCCGGGGGGAUGACGGUACCGGAAGAAUAAGCACCGGCUAACUACGUG